This 496-nucleotide ribosomal RNA is filed under the name uncultured bacterium. Its description in RNAcentral is "partial 16S ribosomal RNA". It matches the Rfam family "Bacterial small subunit ribosomal RNA", at positions 28 to 506 of the family's 1533-position model. The record is from RNAcentral.
GAUGAACGCUGGCGGCGUGCCUAAUACAUGCAAGUCGAGCGAACAGAUGAGGAGCUUGCUCCUCUGACGUUAGCGGCGGACGGGUGAGUAACACGUGGAUAACCUACCUAUAAGACUGGGAUAACUUCGGGAAACCGGAGCUAAUACCGGAUAAUAUAUUGAACCGCAUGGUUCAAUAGUGAAAGACGGUUUUGCUGUCACUUAUAGAUGGAUCCGCGCCGCAUUAGCUAGUUGGUAAGGUAACGGCUUACCAAGGCAACGAUGCGUAGCCGACCUGAGAGGGGGAGCGGCCACACGGGAACGGAGACACGGCCCAAACCCCUAGGGGGGGCAGCAGUGGGGAAUCUUCCGCAAGGGGCGAAAGCCUGACGGGGCAACGCCGCGUGAGGGAUGAAGGUUUUCGGAUCGUAAAACUUUGUUAUUAGGGAAGAACAAAUGGGUAAGUAACUAUGCACGUUUUGACGGUACCAAAUCAAAAAGCCACGGCUAACUACGU